UAAAAAAAGGGUAUUAACUUUUGGGUUUGGGUUUGGGUUUUAUUCAAUUUUCAAAAAAUUUCCAAAAAACGAAUUCUCUUAUAUAGAAUGGAAGACGUCAGCGAUUACGUUGUCUUCUAAAUCGACACGAUAUCGGAUUAAUUGUAACAGUAUCGGUAGCCUAACGGUCUAUUGUUUUGUACAACAAUACAAAUUACGUAAUAAAAAACAACACAGUAACAAAAGAGCUUGCUUAUAAAUUAAACAUAAAAAAACGAAAUAAAGAUUAAUUGCAGCAAUCACCGAGACACGUUCCACGAACUUAAUCUAACAAUAAAUAUACAAUAUUGCACAUUAAGUUGUGGGGAUUUGACCUUGAGGGGCGCCGAACAGCAUCUGCACGGUGUGUGUGUGUAUGUGUGAGUGCGUGUGGGUGAUACCCUUCAAGGCCCCAUUGCACUGUCCUCCAGCCCGAUGCUGUUGUCUCUCUGCACGUCGCUAUGCUCCUCCGAAUGAGUGCGCUGCCGAGAGCCAAUCGGUGUUAAAGCUUCAGUACCAACCAACGCGACGUAAAGUAACUUAACGUAACGCGGCAAACGCCGAAGCGUAGGGGGCUGCGCUUUGAGCGCGCUUAAAGCUGGAACCAUCUUGGCUCUACAUUCCUUCUCUCCUCCCCCUCAAAGGUAUUGGGUGACGAGAGCGACGAAGUAGAUGCUGCGUUUAACGGUUUACUUUCGACUGACGGUAAAGGCAGCGAUCGCCUUGAUUUUAUACAAGUCACGGCCUCCUGCGCUGACAUUGACGUCGCUCCACGUAAAUGGAGAUAAGCAACAUGCAACAUCCUCAUACACACACACACAUGGUUGUUAUCAUGUUAAUGUAUAAUGCAUUUAUGCCGGAACGCAAGAGGGAAUGGGAACAAGGUCCGACUCCCUUUUCUGUUAUCUCCAGUCACUGGGCUACCCAUUUUUAUGUUUAUCACCUAUUUCCCCUCACUUUAUUGCUGUACUUUAGUCUCUGUAUCUUCUUUUCUGUUUUCUUCGGGUCGUAUCUCUUCCUUGGCGGGUCAACAAUGUUAUAUUCCAAUAGUAUUUACGUGUGUAUGAGAUUUGUUUCCAUUUAAUCUUCUUCCACACGCGCGUGUGUACAUAUGUAUGUAUGUAUGUAAAUACUUAUGUAUUCACGUA
RNAcentral lists this long non-coding RNA (1166 nucleotides) under Drosophila guanche. The record is from RNAcentral. Lineage: Eukaryota; Metazoa; Arthropoda; Insecta; Diptera; Drosophilidae.